UUUAAAUUGAGAGUUUGAUCCUGGCUCAGGAUGAACGCUGGUGGCGUGCCUAAUACAUGCAAGUCGUACGCUAGCCGCUGAAUUGAUCCUUCGGGUGAAGUGAGGCAAUGACUAGAGUGGCGAACUGGUGAGUAACACGUAAGAAACCUGCCCUUUAGUGGGGGAUAACAUUUGGAAACAGAUGCUAAUACCGCGUAACAACAAAUCACACAUGUGAUCUGUUUGAA
RNAcentral lists this ribosomal RNA (227 nucleotides) under Oenococcus oeni. RNAcentral's name for it is "partial 16S ribosomal RNA". It matches the Rfam family "Bacterial small subunit ribosomal RNA", at positions 1 to 205 of the family's 1533-position model. The record is from RNAcentral. Lineage: Bacteria; Bacillati; Bacillota; Bacilli; Lactobacillales; Lactobacillaceae.